GUGGCAUAGAGUCUGAUUCCCCAAGUUUUU
This 30-nucleotide non-coding RNA is filed under the name Cricetulus griseus (Chinese hamster). Lineage: Eukaryota; Metazoa; Chordata; Mammalia; Rodentia; Cricetidae. The record is from RNAcentral.